UAGUUGGAAAUGUCCCAAGUGUUUACCCGUGAAAGGCCCCGUAGUACGAACUGUCACCACUGGAGGGGGUGUAUAGACGGUGACGGCUGUGUUCGGUGCUGUGUUUACAUCUGCGUGCUGUUGACGUGGAAGAGACACAGCAGAAAGAUGGCGGCGCCCUCUGCAGAGCAGCAAAACGGCCAAAGUGAUGAAUCUGAUCUACAAAGCCCUAUAUCGACAAAUGAUGACUCCGAAACAGGAUUGGGUGAUGGAGCUCUCCCCGCCUACCUUGUCGACUUGAUAGAGAAAGAAAUCGGAGUGGAUCUGAAGUCGCUGAAGAAAGCGCUCCUGGAUAAACUGACCGUGGGAAAAAUAGUUGCUGGAAGAGCAGGUCUCCCAGGUAGCAUGGUGGAUCUGGGCAGAUUCCUGCUGAGCGUUACACUCGGCCGACGUUAUGUGGUCCGAGUCUGGGCCGCCUUAGGCAGUAUAACUUGUCUAGGAUGCGGGGAUUGAACUCGGGCCGAUUCCGAUGAGAGUUAUCUGUCCCAAAUGUACUACUUGGGUCUCGUGUCGAUUGGGGCUACUCUGGCAGAUGAUUACACGGCUGCUUUAUAUAAUUAGCAUUUCAUUAUUUAUUUUUCCAUAUUUUUAAUUGUUUAUGUGAGAAAAAAUACAAUUAACAUUUAAAUAAAACAUUUAAAGUCCUGCUUAAGUAGUAUUUUAGUAUUUUGAUACUUUGUGCAAGGCAAUUGACAAGCAUUAAAAAGUUGCUGGAUGGGUCCUCCCGAGUGACUCAGUGGUCUAAGACACUGCAUCGAUGUGCAAACUGCGUUGCUACAGAUGCUAGUUCGAUAACCGUGCCGGCCGCGACCGGGAGACCCGCACAAUUGGCCCAGCGUCGUCCGAGUUAAGGGAGGGUUUGGCCGGACGCGAUGUCCUUGUCCCGUCCCCAUGUAGCGACUCCUGUGGUGGGCCAGGCGCAUGCACGCUGACACGGUCAUCAGGUGUACAGUGUUUUCUCCUACAUAAUUUUUUUGGGGGUGGAUGGGUAUAAUUUGUAUGCAUAAAAUGUAAAAUAGUAAUGUUUAAAAUGACUAAAUUCGGUAAUUUUAUAUACAUUUAUUUAAAUUAGCAUCAGGCCCCUUCUGGGGGAUUCUGGUAAGAUGCCACAAAAAGUCGACUGAACUCACGUAGAUGGAAACGGGACGAUUCUGGGCAGUCAUUCAUUUUGAUUCCAGGCCGAGUCCGACAUCCGAUUCCGGGUCGAUUCUAUCAGUUCCGGCCCCCGGAAGAGGGCCGUUUCUGGGCUGAUUCCUCAUUGCUAGCAAUGGCUUUUAUGUUGUUGAGAAAGAUGAACUCUUUUAAUGUCAGCAAGACCGUGAUGACACUGUUUAGGUUGGACAGUGUGGUUAAGGUGGCCAGCCAGGUCAUCAGGGUUCAACAGGCACAGCUCUCAGUGACAUCCAGAAAGCAUGUGGUGAGGAGAGCUAACAGUAUCCUAGACUGUCCUCUGAUUACCCCCUCCUUGACAAUUUUGCACUUCUCCCCUUAGGUCGUCGUUUUAGACUUCCCAAACUCAAUAGCAGCAGAUACAAUAACUAUUUUAUCCCACAGCCCAUGAACUUUCUGAAUCUGCACAUUAAAUUAAAUGUUGAUUUAUUGCUGCACUUCUGCUCAAUGAUUGCUCCUUUUUAUCAAUGUCAUUGUUUCAUGUUGUGUGUAUUGGUUGUAUGGUUGUCACUGUUUUUAAUGUUGCCGUUUUGUAUUGUUGAACCCUGACUGCACAACAUAUCUCCCAAUGGGGACAAUAAAGAUAAGUUGAACUUGA
Oncorhynchus keta (chum salmon) is the source of this 1807-nucleotide long non-coding RNA. RefSeq lists it as uncharacterized. NCBI's taxonomy places the organism in Eukaryota, Metazoa, Chordata, Actinopteri, Salmoniformes, Salmonidae. The transcript is spliced from 2 exons. The record is from RefSeq and is a predicted model, not a curated record.